This 421-nucleotide ribosomal RNA is filed under the name uncultured bacterium. RNAcentral's name for it is "bacterial SSU rRNA". It matches the Rfam family "Bacterial small subunit ribosomal RNA", at positions 362 to 775 of the family's 1533-position model. The record is from RNAcentral.
UAUUGGACAAUGGGGGCAACCCUGAUCCAGCCAUGCCGCGUGUGUGAAGAAGGCCUUUUGGUCGUAAAGCACUUUAAGUAGGGAAGAAGACUCCGUGGUUAAUACCCACGGACGAUGACAUUAGCUGCAGAAUAAGCACAGGCUAACUCUGUGCCAGCCGCCGCGGUAAUACAGAGGGUGCAAGCGUUAAUCGGAAUUACUGGGCGUAAAGCGAGCGUAGGUGGCUUGAUAAGUCAGAUGUGAAAUCCCCGGGCUUAACCUGGGAACUGCAUCUGAUACUGUUAGGCUAGAACAGGUGAGAGGAAGGUAGAAUCCCAGGUGUAGCGGUGAAAUGCGUAGAGAUCUGGAGGAAUACCGAUGGCGAAGGCAGCCUUCUGGCAUCAUAUUGACACUGAGGUUCGAAAGCGUGGGUAGCAAACAG